GAACCCAACGGUGAAGCCAAUCAA
This 24-nucleotide non-coding RNA is filed under the name Arabidopsis thaliana (thale cress). The record is from RNAcentral. Lineage: Eukaryota; Viridiplantae; Streptophyta; Magnoliopsida; Brassicales; Brassicaceae.